Molecule: transfer RNA, 81 nt
Filed under: Canis lupus familiaris (dog)
Lineage: Eukaryota; Metazoa; Chordata; Mammalia; Carnivora; Canidae
Also listed under: 1 other name
Rfam family: tRNA
About the family: Transfer RNA (tRNA) molecules are approximately 80 nucleotides in length. Their secondary structure includes four short double-helical elements and three loops (D, anti-codon, and T loops).
Source: Rfam by way of RNAcentral
GCCUGGGUGGCUCAGUGGUUGAGCACCUGCCUUUAGCCCAGGGCGUGAUCCUAGAUGUGGGAUCAAGUCCCACAUCAGGCU